RNAcentral lists this non-coding RNA (253 nucleotides) under uncultured bacterium. RNAcentral's name for it is "partial 16S ribosomal RNA". It matches the Rfam family "Bacterial small subunit ribosomal RNA", at positions 524 to 776 of the family's 1533-position model. RNAcentral also lists the same sequence under 1 other name. The record is from RNAcentral.
UACGUAGGGGGCGAGCGUUGUCCGGAAUUAUUGGGCGUAAAGCGCGUGUAGGCGGACCAUUAAGUCGGCUGUGAAAUCUCUGGGCUCAACCCAGAAACUGCAGUCGAUACUGGUGGUCUUGAGGUAGCUAGAGGAGAGUGGAAUUCCCGGUGUAGCGGUGGAAUGCGCAGAUAUCGGGAGGAACACCAAUGGCGAAGGCAGCUCUCUGGAGCUCACCUGACGCUGAGACGCGAAAGCAUGGGUAGCAAACAGG